CCUUUGGAGCGAUAUAGAAAAACUAGAUUAGCUUAGUUUUUAGUGAAAUAGGUCGCCAUGAAUUAGGAA
This 69-nucleotide non-coding RNA is filed under the name unclassified sequences. Its description in RNAcentral is "RAGATH-18 RNA". It matches the Rfam family "RAGATH-18 RNA". Rfam says of the family: Actinobacteria, Firmicutes, Fusobacteria, Thermotogae (1 example). Nearby to self-cleaving ribozyme genes The record is from Rfam by way of RNAcentral.